Molecule: ribosomal RNA, 973 nt
Filed under: human gut metagenome
Description: bacterial LSU rRNA
Rfam family: Bacterial large subunit ribosomal RNA
Source: RNAcentral
AAGGUAGCGAAAUUCCUUGUCGGGUAAGUUCCGACCUGCACGAAUGGCGUAACGAUCUCCACACUGUCUCGGCCAGAGACUCGGUGAAAUUGAAGUCGCGGUGAAAAUGCCGUGUACCCGCAGAAAGACGGAAAGACCCUGUGCACCUUUACUAUAGCUUGACAUUGGGAUUUGAGCCUGCAUGUGUAGCAUAGGUGGGAGGCUGUGAACUCUGUACGCCAGUAUGGAGGGAGCCAUCGUUGAAAUACCACCCUUGUUUGUUCAGGUCCCUAACUCUUCGCCGUUACCCGGUAAGAGGACAGUGUCUGGUGGGUAGUUUGACUGGGGCGGUCGCCUCCCAAAAUGUAACGGAGGCAUGCAAAGGUUCCCUCAGGCUGAUUGGAAACCAGCCGUCGAGUGCAAACGCAAAAGGGAGCUUGACUGCAAGAGAGACAUCUCGAGCAGGUACGAAAGUAGGUGUUAGUGAUCCGGUGAUCCCGAAUGGAAGGGUCAUCGCUCAUUGGAUAAAAGGUACGCCGGGGAUAACAGGCUGAUCGCAUCCAAGAGUUCACAUCGACGAUGCGGUUUGGCACCUCGAUGUCGGCUCAUCACAUCCUGGGGCUGAAGCAGGUCCCAAGGGUACGGCUGUUCGCCGUUUAAAGUGGUACGCGAGCUGGGUUUAAAACGUCGUGAGACAGUUUGGUCCCUAUCUUCUGUGGGCGUAGGAGAAUUGAAAGGGCCUGUCCCUAGUACGAGAGGACCGGGAUGGACACACCACUGGUGGACCUGUUGUCGUGCCAACGGCACAGCAGGGUAGCUAUGUGUGGAAGGGAUAACCGCUGAAAGCAUCUAAGCGGGAAGCCUGCCUUAAGAUAAGUUCUCCCUGACGCAAGUCCUGAAGGGCCGAGGUAGACGACCUCGUUGAUAGGCUGGAGGUGGAAGCCCUGUGAGGGGUGGAGCUGACCAGUACUAAUAGCCCGUGCGUCUUGUUUUU